GAUGAACGCUAGCGGCAGGCCUAACACAUGCAAGUCGAGGGGUAGCAGGAUUAAGCUUGCUUAAUUGCUGACGACCGGCGCACGGGUGCGUAACGCGUAUGCAACCUACCUUAUACUGGGGUAUAGCCCGGAGAAAUUCGGAUUAAUCCCCCAUAGUACUAAUGAAUCGCAUGGUUUAUUAGUUAAAGCAUUGCGGUAUAAGAUGGGCAUGCGUCCUAUUAGCUAGAUGGUGAGGUAACGACUCACCAUGGCUACGAUAGGUAGGGGGCCUGAGAGGGUGGUCCCCCACACUGGUACUGAGACACGGACCAGACUCCUACGGGAGGCAGCGGUGAGGAAUAUUGGUCAAUGGGCGCAAGCCUGAACCAGCCAUGCCGCGUGCAGGAAGAAUGCCCUAUGGGUUGUAAACUGCUUUUAUUUGGGAAUAAACCUCUUUACGUGUAGAGAGCUGAAGGUACCAAAUGAAUAAGCACCGGCUAACUCCGUGCCAGCAGCCGCCGUAA
RNAcentral lists this ribosomal RNA (503 nucleotides) under uncultured bacterium. RNAcentral's name for it is "partial 16S ribosomal RNA". It matches the Rfam family "Bacterial small subunit ribosomal RNA", at positions 28 to 523 of the family's 1533-position model. The record is from RNAcentral.